This 2183-nucleotide long non-coding RNA is filed under the name Citrus sinensis (sweet orange). RNAcentral describes it as "long non-coding RNA (CSIN_LNC000955)". The record is from RNAcentral. Lineage: Eukaryota; Viridiplantae; Streptophyta; Magnoliopsida; Sapindales; Rutaceae.
CAGGUGAAGAAGUUGUGCAUAUGCUGGUGUCACAAUUGUCUGGAUGUUAUUUUAGUAAAUGUAACUAGAAUGGAUGAGUUACAUUAAACACAUACCUGAAAUUGCAGUUGACAUUCUGGAAAUUUUACAUGAGAAGUUGAGCAAGUUACUCUCCGGUGACGAUACUAAAGCAAUUCAGAAAAUUGUCAUCGCCCUUGGACAAAUCUGUGCAAAGGAAACAUCAUCUUUGCACCUAAAUAGUUCCCUCAAUUUGAUUUUCAGCCUUUGCCGGUCAAAGGUGGGUGGAUAGGAAUGACUGUUGUCUUUUAUUAUGAUCUAAUGUACUAGUUAUUUUUUGAGAUUGCUAAUAACUAGUAAAGCUAAUAAUUAGAAAGGUGGUUCAUUUGGUCAAGAUUACAUUCUUUUAACGUCUACAGUUUUGGCUUUUCACAGGUUGAGGAUAUCCUUUUUGCUGCUGGGGAGGCUCUAUCAUUUCUGUGGGGUGCUGUUCCAGUGACUGCUGAUGUGAUUCUUAAAACCAAUUAUACUUCACUUUCCAUGUCCUCAAAAUUUCUAAUGGGAGAUAUGGACUCAUCAUGGUCAACUUUAAGCUCUGAUUGGAAAUGUGAGGCCAAUGAAGAUUGCCAUGUCAUGAUCAGAGAUACAAUUUCUAAAAAGCUUUUUGAUGAUCUUUUAUACAGUAGUAGAAAAGAAGAGCGUUGUGCUGGGGCUGUUUGGUUACUAUCUCUAACAAUGUAUUGCGGCCAUCAUCCAACCAUCCAGCAAAUGCUUCCAGAAAUUCAGGUUUGCUAUUGGUUCUUUAUAUGUCCAACUUUCAUUUAUUUCACUUAUGGUCAUCGACUGUCUUUGUGAAGUUGACCUACCUGAGUAGCAGUGCAAUUUUAGAGAUGACUUCAAUAACCUUCUUUUCAUUACCUUCUUCUUUCUAACAUAGAUUUUAAUUUUGCUGGUGGAAAUUUUUAAAUCUAAAAGUUCUUCAAGUUUUAUAACUUUUUUGAAAGAUUUUUUUCUACACAGUGUUAAUGUGUUUUGAGUAACAGGUCGUUAUGUAUCCAGAUUAUAGGAGAAUUUCUAGAAUACAUCAGAGAUUCCAUGUUAAGUAUACAACAAAUAAAUGAUAUUAUGCCAUGUGUUUAUUUAUUUUGAAAAACCAAAAUGCAAGCGAUGGUUAUAUUAAAUUCUGCUGUACCGUACAUCCGCCUUGGCCGUACAGCAGUUUUGAAACAUGAUUUAAUUUGAGAACUAUAUUGACAUGAAAUGUAGUCAUAAUAUAUGAAGUAUUUCAUCUUCCGAGCAAAGUUCAAAGUGAAUGUAGGAAAGUUGUCAAUGUCACUGUCAACGGCUAUGAAAGUCUUUUUGUCUGUGGGUACUUGAGAUUCUCAACAAAUUAUUUUGGUUGAAAUCAUGGUGGAGACACUGAUGUUGAAGAAGGAUAUUAUAAACUCUUUGAUACCAUGACCUGAUGAAACUUUCUUUGUUCCUAAAACUUUUUAGUUCACUACUUUCUUGCCGAAAAUUAGGUUUUCUUAUUUUCCUUGAUAAAAUUUGGGUAAAUGUUAAAUCAGAUGGCAAAUGACUUCAGAUUUUCCCGUCAUCUUUGUAGUAGUGAAAUAAGAGCCCAUAUUAAAUUGUGUUCUGUUAUAUGUGAUGAGUACCAGCUAUUUUUGUUAGGCCUUAGUUAAUUUUGUUAGUAAAAGUAAUUUUUUGUAUUUGAUACUCUAAAUGUGCAUUUUAUACUAUUUUUUAACCAUGACAUUGAUUCACAGAUCCCGGAAGCAUUAUUUCAGAGUACACUUAAAUGCCUUGUUGAUGUGGUUAACUCUGAGACUGCAACAUUAUCCUCUGUUGCCAUGCAAGCAUUAGGUCAUAUUGGGCUGUGUGUACCAUUGCCUCCUCUAAUUCAUGCAUCUGAUUCAGGUGAAGAAGUUGUGCAUAUGCUGGUGUCACAAUUGUCUGGAUGUUAUUUUAGUAAAUGUAACUAGAAUGGAUGAGUUACAUUAAACACAUACCUGAAAUUGCAGUUGACAUUCUGGAAAUUUUACAUGAGAAGUUGAGCAAGUUACUCUCCGGUGACGAUACUAAAGCAAUUCAGAAAAUUGUCAUCGCCCUUGGACAAAUCUGUGCAAAGGAAACAUCAUCUUUGCACCUAAAUAGUUCCCUCAAUUUGAUUUUCAGCCUUUGCC